AGUCGACGAUGAAGCCCUUCGGGGUGGAUUAGUGGCGAACGGGUGAGUAACACGUGGGCAAUCUGCCCUUCACUCUGGGACAAGCCCUGGAAACGGGGUCUAAUACCGGAUAAUACUCCUGCCUGCAUGGGCGGGGGUUAAAAGCUCCGGCGGUGAAGGAUGAGCCCGCGGCCUAUCAGCUUGUUGGUGGGGUAAUGGCCCACCAAGGCGACGACGGGUAGCCGGCCUGAGAGGGCGACCGGCCACACUGGGACUGAGACACGGCCCAGACUCCUACGGGAGGCAGCAGUGGGGAAUAUUGCACAAUGGGCGAAAGCCUGAUGCAGCGACGCCGCGUGAGGGAUGACGGCCUUCGGGUUGUAAACCUCUUUCAGCAGGGAAGAAGCGAAAGUGACGGUACCUGCAGAAGAAGCGCCGGCUAACUACGUGCCAGCAGCCGCGGUAAUACGUAGGGCGCAAGCGUUGUCCGGAAUUAUUGGGCGUAAAGAGCUCGUAGGCGGCUUGUCACGUCGGAUGUGAAAGCCCGAGGCUUAACCUCGGGUCUGCAUUCGAUACGGGCUAGCUAGAGUGUGGUAGGGGAGAUCGGAAUUCCUGGUGUAGCGGUGAAAUGCGCAGAUAUCAGGAGGAACACCGGUGGCGAAGGCGGAUCUCUGGGCCAUUACUGACGCUGAGGAGCGAAGCGUGGGGAGCGAACAGGAUUAGAUACCCUGGUAGUCCACGCCGUAAACGUUGGGAACUAGGUGUUGGCGACAUUCCACGUCGUCGGUGCCGCAGCUAACGCAUUAAGUUCCCCGCCUGGGGAGUACGGCCGCAAGGCUAAAACUCAAAGGAAUUGACGGGGGCCCGCACAAGCGGCGGAGCAUGUGGCUUAAUUCGACGCAACGCGAAGAACCUUACCAAGGCUUGACAUAUACCGGAAAGCAUUAGAGAUAGUGCCCCCCUUGUGGUCGGUAUACAGGUGGUGCAUGGCGUCGUCAGCUCGUGUCGUGAGAUGUUGGGUUAAGUCCCGCAACGAGCGCAACCCUUGUCCUGUGUUGCCAGCAUGCCCUUCGGGGUGAUGGGGACUCACAGGAGACCGCCGGGGUCAACUCGGAGGAAGGUGGGGACGACGUCAAGUCAUCAUGCCCCUUAUGUCUUGGGCUGCACACGUGCUACAAUGGCCGGUACAAUGAGCUGCGAUACCGUGAGGUGGAGCGAAUCUCAAAAA
This 1207-nucleotide ribosomal RNA is filed under the name Streptomyces sp. Its description in RNAcentral is "bacterial SSU rRNA". It matches the Rfam family "Bacterial small subunit ribosomal RNA", at positions 60 to 1280 of the family's 1533-position model. The record is from RNAcentral. Lineage: Bacteria; Bacillati; Actinomycetota; Actinomycetes; Kitasatosporales; Streptomycetaceae.